Molecule: ribosomal RNA, 429 nt
Filed under: Acidobacteriota bacterium
Lineage: Bacteria; Pseudomonadati; Acidobacteriota
Description: Acidobacteria bacterium partial 16S ribosomal RNA
Rfam family: Bacterial small subunit ribosomal RNA
Source: RNAcentral
UGGGGAAUCUUCCGCAAUGGACGAAAGUCUGACGGAGCAACGCCGCGUGAGUGAUGAAGGAUUUCGGUCUGUAAAGCUCUGUUGUUUAUGACGAACGUGCAGUGUGUGAACAAUGCAUUGCAAUGACGGUAGUAAACGAGGAAGCCACGGCUAACUACGUGCCAGCAGCCGCGGUAAUACGUAGGUGGCGAGCGUUGUCCGGAAUUAUUGGGCGUAAAGAGCAUGUAGGCGGCUUAAUAAGUCGAGCGUGAAAAUGCGGGGCUCAACCCCGUAUGGCGCUGGAAACUGUUAGGCUUGAGUGCAGGGGAGGAAAGGGGAAUUCCCAGUGUAGCGGUGAAAUGCGUAGAUAUUGGGAGGAACACCAGUGGCGAAGGCGCCUUUCUGGACUGUGUCUGACGCUGAGAUGCGAAAGCCAGGGUAGCGAACGGG